UAUCCGAUAAUAUCCAGUUUUUUUGUCACCCAGAUUCCUUUUGGGCCCAAUUUUCUUUCACCACGAAGGGUCGUUCUCUCUUCCCCUCUUUUUUUCUCUUCUCUUCGCAGCCGCACCGCAUCGCGUCGCAUCGCUUAUUCGAUUGCGUUGCCUCUCUUACGCUUUCUCUUUUAAUAUCCAAUUUCAUCACCUUCAUCGCAUCGGUAAGCCUUUUCAAUCUCCCUAUCAAUCUUCAAAGCCUCUUCCUAAAUUUCUAGGGUUUCAAUUCUAAUCCUCUUUUUUCCUUCUAACUUUAUUUCAACUCAUAGUGUUUCUAUUUUGCCUUGUCUCGUGAUCUCCAAUCGCCUUCAGAUCUUUCACGAUUUCUUCUUUAGUUUUGAAAUUCCACGUAUUUGUUGUAUUUUGGGUUUAGGGUUCUAUAAAACAAAAGAAAAAAAGAAAAAAAAUACAAAGUCGUUCCGAAGGGGGAUUAGGGUUUUCCCUUGUGAUUCACGCAUUUAGGUAGCUAGAGAUAUAUGGCGGCUGGGAGACAUGGCGGUUACCGCGAAAACGACUUCAGAGAGCGCGAAUCGAAACUCGAAGGUUCUAGACGCGGGCUUGCCAAUUCGAAAGAGGAUUACGAUCGUGUUAGGAAUGGUGGCGGUGAUGUUGUGAGGGGAGGGUCCAGGGACAGGGUUAGGGUGAGGCAGAGGGAUAUUAAGGAGAGGGAAGGUGUUAAUGGUGGGUACCGAUCAUCUUCGAGUAGGAGUGACUCUGGCAGCAGUGGCCUUGGUCCUCGCCGAUGUGGUUUCUCUAUCAAAGCAAUGGAUAGAGAGCCUGGUGAGCUUUCCAGUGAGAGUGGUUCUGAUGAUGCAAUUGAGUCAGAAUCUAGGGCGAAAGACUCCGAGGUUUCCAUGUUGGAAGAAACAAGAACCCGAUCCCCACCGGUGCCGGACAGGAAAAGAAAAUUCUCGCCCAUAGUGUGGGAUCAGGAUGACAAAGAUGUCAGUGAGUCAUCCAGAGUUAGGGUUUCUGCCUCUACAGUGGUGGCAGCAGCACUUCCUCCUCCGCCUCCAUUGCCAAAGGUAUUCCAUCAGUCACCGUCACCAAAUGCUCCAAAUGGUGUUGUACAAAUACAUCCUGUCAAGAACAAGGAGACCGAGGAUCUCCAGUUGAAUGCAACAUCUAAGAUUACCUUGCCCUCUCCUUCAGGUUUGCAUUCAUCACCUCCGAAAGGGAGGUGGGGUAAUGAUCAGGAAGCUGAUCAUCUAGAAGGUGAAGUUUAUGUUCCAGCUCGCAAUAUAUCAUCUUCAAGAUGGGCAGCUGGAGAUAACUCUCCUGGUGAUGAGGGUGAGAUCCUCAAUGAUGAGGAGAUGCCCAAACGAAGGAGGAAGGUGUCUCCUGAGUUCUUGGAUGGCAGACUAAGGAACAAGUUAUUGAGCCCUGUGGAAUCCAAGAUUGAAGGUAUUGAAGGAGCUAGAGCCAGAUCAUCUGAAUCUGAAGAAAGAGGUGUCCGUGGGAGAACUUCCAGCAGUGAUGAUCAUCCUGGUAUGGAGUCAGAGAAGGAUGACUUCAUGGAGGUUGACCCUCAGGGUGGGAAAAGUGAAACAAGUGUCAGUCACUCCGAAACGGAAUAUGAAGAUGAAGACGAUGGUAGGGAGACUCCAGAACCUCCUUCUCCACCCCAAAGAACUGUCAACAUGCUUCAGGGUUGUAGAAGUGUUGAUGAGUUUGAGAGACUUAACAAGAUAGAUGAAGGAACAUAUGGUGUUGUAUAUAGGGCUAGGGAUAAAAAGACCGGAGAAAUUGUAGCAUUGAAGAAGGUCAAGAUGGAGAAGGAAAAGGAGGGCUUCCCACUGACUUCUCUUAGGGAAAUAAAUAUUCUUCUUUCUUUUCACCACCCAUCCAUAGUUGAUGUUAAAGAAGUAGUGGUAGGAAGUAGCCUUGAUAGUAUUUUCAUGGUCAUGGAAUAUAUGGAGCAUGACCUUAAAGGACUAAUGGAAGCAAUGAAGCAACCUUUCAGCCAGAGUGAAGUGAAGUGCUUGAUGAUCCAGCUUUUAGAAGGUGUGAAGUAUCUUCAUGACAACUGGGUGCUUCAUAGGGAUUUAAAGACAUCAAAUCUGCUUUUAAAUAAUAGGGGUGAGCUCAAAAUUUGUGAUUUUGGCUUGGCCCGUCAGUAUGGGAGUCCUUUAAAGCCAUAUACACACCUGGUGGUUACUCUUUGGUACAGGGCACCUGAACUCCUUCUGGGGUCAAAACAGUAUUCAACAGCCAUAGACAUGUGGUCUCUAGGCUGUAUAAUGGCUGAGCUAUUAUCUAAGGAACCACUGUUUAAUGGGAGAACGGAGUUUGACCAACUUGACAAGAUUUUUCGGAUUCUAGGCACCCCUAAUGAAGCAAUAUGGCCUGGUUUCUCAAAAUUACCUGGGGUCAAGGUCAAUUUUGUCAAACACCAGUACAACCUCCUGCGGAAAAAAUUUCCUGCCACAUCAUUCACUGGAUCUCCUGUUCUUUCUGAUUCAGGAUUUGAUUUGUUGAACAAACUUCUAACAUAUGACCCUGAAAAGCGGAUCACUGCUGAAGCUGCUCUAAAUCAUGAGUGGUUUCGUGAGGUCCCUCUCCCCAAAAGUAAAGAAUUCAUGCCUACAUUUCCUGCUCAACACGCUCAGGACAGGCGUGUGCGGAGAAUAUACAAGAGUCCAGAUCCUUUAGAGGAGCAGCGCCGGAAGGAGUUGCAGCAGGGUGAAUCGGGGACUGGUGGAAUUUUUGGCUAAGAAUGGUGCUUGCUAAGGCUGUGUCUCAAUAAUCAUUCUGAAACUGCUGAAUGUUUUAGUGUUUGAGGAACAUUUUGGUUUAGCGAAGAUGUAUUCUUUUACCUCCCUGGCAACCAGAUUUAUUUCAGAGAUGGUUGGUGUGAAGUGCAAGAGGACCUUCUGUGCAUCUUUCCAAAGAAAUUGGGUGACGUUAUGCAUUAAAAGUAUCAAGUAUCAAAGCAAGCAGGUUGAGGAGGUUACCAGUAUAUCUUAAAGUAUAGAACUUCAAUUAGUUGUUCCUUCAGUCUCUCUAGAGCUGGGAGAUUGGGUUGCUAAGAGAUGUAAAGCAUCCACUUCCCAUUCAACACAAUUUAUUGGAUUUCAUCAUUGGAUGGCUAAUGCUGUAAGCAUAAGAUGUAUUUUGUUUUAUUUUAAUUGGUUGAAGGCAGGUUUUGGUAUGAAAUAUUAGGUUUGUGUUUAGUGUGGAUGGGUUUGUAUUUCAUAUGUUGCCAUGCCCACAAAUCAUUUUAUAUAUUGUGUAGAUCUUUUGUUAAAUAAGAUUUGGAUUAUGUCGAAGGAUUGGAAAAUGGAUUUGUGAAUUAACAGUUUUCGUGGAUCCUUGGUUGGAAUGGGAGUAAAGGUGGGGAAAAGCCCUGGAUUUCGUGGAUUCACAUAAACUUAGGUACUUCUCUACAAUAGUACACAUAUCGAUGACAUUGAACUAAAUCUUAGCGCAGACCUUGAAUUUGACAGGCAGAGAAAAAUAAAAAUUGCUUGAAUAGUCUUUGCUUUGUUAUAGUUAGAGAAAAAAUGAGCAGGAAACGGGGAAUACAAAAUAACAUGGUUCACAGGCAAGUGUGGAAGUUAGGACUGCUAAGUACCUAGACGGCGGGGGUUGGAUGGAUGGAAAAAACGGCGAAAAAAAUGCAACGUCUCAUGAUGUAUUUUGUUGAUAUUUUUACGGAUCAACGUUAGUUCAUUGGGAAUCUAAACUAUACUAGGUGAAACCUCUACUUUUUUCUAAUGUAUUUUAAAGUGUAAUUGCUUGUUCCUAGUGUUAUGGUUUGUCAAAACUUUUAGGCUUGUGGUAGUUUUUGUAUUUCAAACUCCUUAUUUUUUGUUUGAUCAAAUGAUCUCCUAAUUAUUUAAUUGUUGGUGACA
Vigna angularis (adzuki bean) is the source of this 3893-nucleotide RNA transcript. It is a transcript of the gene named cyclin-dependent kinase G-2, with no coding region annotated. The transcript is spliced from 10 exons. NCBI's taxonomy places the organism in Eukaryota, Viridiplantae, Streptophyta, Magnoliopsida, Fabales, Fabaceae. The record is from RefSeq and is a predicted model, not a curated record.